This 611-nucleotide non-coding RNA is filed under the name Reticulomyxa filosa. RNAcentral's name for it is "Bacterial large subunit ribosomal RNA". It matches the Rfam family "Bacterial large subunit ribosomal RNA", at positions 221 to 886 of the family's 2925-position model. Lineage: Eukaryota; Foraminifera; Reticulomyxidae. The record is from Rfam by way of RNAcentral.
GACAUCAACAGAGACUCCGCUAGUAGUGGCGAGCGAACGCGGACGAGGCCAGUGGCUGCAUUUUAAGAACCGGAACCUGUCAGGAAAGCAGGGCCUCAGAGGGUGAUAGCCCCGUACGGGUAGAAAGAGAUGCAGUCCUUGAGUAAGGCGGGACACGAGAAAUCCUGUCUGAACAUGGGGGGACCACCCUCCAAGCCUAAGUACUCCUCGACGACCGAUAGCGAACAAGUACCGUGAGGGAAAGGUGAAAAGCACCCCGACGAGGGGAGUGAAACAGUUCCUGAAACCGGAUGCCUACAAACAGUCGGAGCCCGCAAGGGUGACGGCGUACCUUUUGUAUAAUGGGUCAGCGACUUAAUUUAACGAGCAAGCUUAAGCCGAUAGGUGUAGGCGCAGCGAAAGCGAGUCCGAAUAGGGCGUCAAGUUCGUUGGAUUAGACCCGAAACCGGGUGAUCUAGCCAUGAGCAGGCUGAAGGCAAGGUAACACUUGCUGGAGGGCCGAACCGUUGAAUGUUGCAAAAUUCUCGGAUGACUUGUGGCUAGGGGUGAAAGGCCAAUCAAACUCGGUAAUAGCUGGUUCUCCGCGAAAUCUAUUUAGGUAGAGCGUCGGA